RNAcentral lists this unclassified non-coding RNA (234 nucleotides) under Chaetopyrena sp. RNAcentral's name for it is "partial contains 5.8S ribosomal RNA, internal transcribed spacer 2, and large subunit ribosomal RNA". The record is from RNAcentral. RNAcentral also lists the same sequence under 2 other names. Lineage: Eukaryota; Fungi; Ascomycota; Dothideomycetes; Pleosporales; Didymellaceae.
AACGCACAUUGCGCCCCCCGGUAUUCCGAGGGGCAUGCCUGUUCGAGCGUCAUAACAACCCCUCAAGCCUAGCUUGGUCUUGGGGCCUGCCCGCUGGGCGGCCCUUAAACACAGUGGCGGUGCCGUCGUGCUCUACGCGUAGUAACUCUUCUCGCGACAGGGCGCUGACGGGACCUGCCGAAGCUCCAUCUCUCGGUUGACCUCGGAUCAGGUAGGGAUACCCGCUGAACUUAA